Long non-coding RNA from Hordeum vulgare subsp. vulgare (domesticated barley), 901 nucleotides. RefSeq lists it as uncharacterized. The transcript is spliced from 2 exons. The record is from RefSeq and is a predicted model, not a curated record. NCBI's taxonomy places the organism in Eukaryota, Viridiplantae, Streptophyta, Magnoliopsida, Poales, Poaceae.
UCAUCAUCGGUUGUUCACUUGGGCUCCCUAACAUAUUUAUCUUGAAUGUUCGAUCUAAAUCGAAGGGUCCAAACUCAACCCAAUUUACAUAUCACCUACACAAAACCCGUAGACAAGUUUUCCUCGUUCGCCGCCGCCACUCUCUCGUGGAUCCCAUCAAAUCCAUCCAUCCUCUCAGCAAACCACCUACUUCCUUGCUUUCAGCCGCGGGACAACCACCAGUGCCUCCACCUCGCUCCUGGACAUGUCCAACCGCCCCCAGCCUCAGUCGUCUGCGUGACCUCAUGAGCAGGAGCUCUCUCGCAGCCUUUCCGACCCGCAAGGAUUCGCCGGAGUCCGACGUCGCCGGCUCCCCACAGGCCGACCCCGACGCCCUUUCCCCUUGCUUCCUGAUUUCUUCACCUUUCGAUGCUCUCUCUCAUCUUUGUAUUUUUUUCUCUCUGUUCCAACAGCUUGGGCUGCCGCCAUGAAUGCCAUCUCAGGAGAGCCAUGGCGCCACUUAAAUCUCUAUAGCCGCCAUUGACACCCGAGAUCCACUGUUCCCGUAGCCCUGUAGUAGCCUCCGUAUGUGACCACGAGAGCCGCAGGUCUAGAGGAACAUCAAGUAUGGCCUCGCCGCUGACCAGCCAGAGCACUGGAUCUGCGCCACUCCACCGCCCCACAAACGGAUCCGGAGGAACCUCGCCACUGUACAUGCCCAGCCACGGUCAUGGAGAAGUUGUCUCCGUUAUUUUGUUGGUGUAGCUUUCAGAUUCGCGUUAGCAUAUUGUUUCAUGUUCAAACGUCCCCUUUGCAUCGCAAACUUAGGAUGUUUGGAUACGUUUUAGUUUCAUGAUUAAGAGGAUGCUUGAUAUGUUUUAAUACCAUGAUAAAAAGUAAUAAGACUAAAAAUUGCUAGCUU